UAAAAAUUUGCAUUAAUGAAC
Molecule: non-coding RNA, 21 nt
Filed under: Caenorhabditis elegans
Lineage: Eukaryota; Metazoa; Nematoda; Chromadorea; Rhabditida; Rhabditidae
Source: RNAcentral